Molecule: ribosomal RNA, 904 nt
Filed under: uncultured bacterium
Lineage: Bacteria
Description: bacterial SSU rRNA
Rfam family: Bacterial small subunit ribosomal RNA
Source: RNAcentral
UACUGGGCGUAAGGAUGCGUAGGCGGACAUUUAAGUCAGAUGUGAAACCCCCAGGCUUAACUUGGGGACUGCAUUUGAAACUGGGUGUCUUGAGUGCAGGAGAGGUAAGUGGAAUUCCUAGUGUAGCGGUGAAAUGCGUAGAGAUUAGGAAGAACACCAGUGGCGAAGGCGGCUUACUGGACUGUAACUGACGCUGAGGCAUGAAAGCGUGGGUAGCAAACAGGAUUAGAUACCCUGGUAGUCCACGCUGUAAACGAUGAAUACUAGGUGUGGGAGGUAUCGACUCCUUCCGUGCCGCCGCUAACGCAAUAAGUAUUCCGCCUGGGGAGUACGAUCGCAAGAUUAAAACUCAAAGGAAUUGACGGGGGCCCGCACAAGCAGCGGAGCAUGUGGUUUAAUUCGAAGCAACGCGAAGAACCUUACCUGGACUUGACAUCCCCUGAAUAACCUAGAGAUAGGCGAAGCCCUUCGGGGCAGGGAGACAGGUGGUGCAUGGUUGUCGUCAGCUCGUGUCGUGAGAUGUUAGGUUAAGUCCUGCAACGAGCGCAACCCUUAUCCUUAGUUGCUACCAUCAAGUUGAGCACUCUAAGGAGACUGCCCGGGUUAACCGGGAGGAAGGUGGGGAUGACGUCAAAUCAUCAUGCCCCUUAUGUCCAGGGCCACACACGUGCUACAAUGGUGAGUACAGAAAGAUGCAAUACCGCAAGGUGGAGCAAAACUUAUAAAACUCAUCCCAGUUCGGAUUGUAGGCUGCAACUCGCCUACAUGAAGCCGGAGUUGCUAGUAAUCGCGAAUCAGCAUGUCGCGGUGAAUACGUUCCCGGGCCUUGUACACACCGCCCGUCACACCAUGAGAGCUGGCAACACCCGAAGUCCGUGAGGUAACUCGUAAGAGAGCCAGCGGC